UAGGGAAUCUUCCACAAUGGACGAAAGUCUGAUGGAGCAACGCCGCGUGAGUGAAGAAGGGUUUCGGCUCGUAAAGCUCUGUUGGUAGUGAAGAAAGAUAGAGGUAGUAACUGGCCUUUAUUUGACGGUAAUUACUUAGAAAGUCACGGCUAACUACGUGCCAGCAGCCGCGUAAUCACGAGCU
This 184-nucleotide ribosomal RNA is filed under the name uncultured bacterium. RNAcentral describes it as "partial 16S ribosomal RNA". It matches the Rfam family "Bacterial small subunit ribosomal RNA", at positions 355 to 532 of the family's 1533-position model. The record is from RNAcentral.